Molecule: ribosomal RNA, 253 nt
Filed under: uncultured bacterium
Lineage: Bacteria
Description: partial 16S ribosomal RNA
Rfam family: Bacterial small subunit ribosomal RNA
Source: RNAcentral
GACAGAGGGUGCGAACGUUGUUCGGAAUUACUGGGCGUAAAGCGCAUGUAGGCGGCAGCGCAAGUCGGGCGUGAAAUCCCACGGCUCAACCGUGGAAGUGCACUCGAAACUGCGCAGCUAGAGUCCUGGAGAGGAAGGUGGAAUGCUUGGUGUAGAGGUGAAAUUCGUAGAUAUCAAGCGGAACACCGGUGGCGAAGGCGGCCUUCUGGACAGUUCCUGACGCUGAGGCACGAAGGUCAGGGGAGCAAACGGG